This is a long non-coding RNA of Bombus huntii, 6282 nucleotides long. RefSeq lists it as uncharacterized. The transcript has 2 exons. The record is from RefSeq and is a predicted model, not a curated record. Lineage: Eukaryota; Metazoa; Arthropoda; Insecta; Hymenoptera; Apidae.
UUCCAACUUUCAGCAAAAUGUUUGUGUCUCGCUUAUUGAUGAUAACGAUCAUUUUAAUGUGUUUUCUUUUUCCUAGCGCUUGACUAAUGAACGCGCGUCUGUAUCAAUAAAACGCACGACAAAUUUCUUCCGUAGCUUUACAGUUUAAUUACAUAAAAUAUAUGCAAAUGGAUAAAGAAAGAAAAAGCGUGGAGAAUAAUAUUAACGUUAAAUCGAAUCAUUUGUCCUUUCAUUUUGUAUCUUCUGCCAGGACUUUGUUCGUCGUUUAUCCAAGAUAAAUAUGAGCGGAGAUAAGAUUCUAUUGUUUUAUUUUGUACCGUUUUUAAAGAAGUUGUUUGAAAUAAUUUUAACUCGGGUUUUUCUAUUAUUUUUUUGAACGUUAAAUGUACAUUAUUCGUGAAGAUAGGAAGAUGGAAAACAUGUAGAAACAAUUUCCUCCUGUGUUUUCUAACCAGGUUAUUGAAACACAAUGAUAGUCAUUAUAAAGGAAUCUUAUAAUACGUAUACAGUUUCAUAAUGUAUCUCAUUUCCUUGCAUUUUUAUUUGAAUUCUAUAACAGAUCAUAGGAAUCAAAAGAGCAUGAAAUGUGCGAUAUAAUUGAAGAACUUAAUUGUAUCGUUGCCUCGAUAUUUUUCUACGAUAUCGAAUAACUUGCAAAGUUUUGCAUUCGUGUUUUUUAAGACUUUCGCCUCGUAGUUAAAACGAGAAGACGAUAUUAUACACUAUUUUUCUCUGAUUGUAUUACAAUAUUAUCGAAUUAAUAAACGGUGACGUAUUAUCGUUAUCUGUUACAGGAAGAUCGAUCGUCUAGCCGCGCUUAAUUAGAUAUACUAAACGAAUGUGUUGUAACUUGAUCAAUAAUUUUAUUCAUUCUCCGCCUCGAGCAGCAACCUAUAACAAGCCAAGAAUUAACGUAAAAAAUAUGUGCAAAAAAACUGUUUCUUAGAUUAUGUGUUAUUCAUUAGAUUGUAUUUGACGAUAGAACGAUAUUUUUCGAAUCGCUGUUUCACAUACCUAAUAAUUAAAUGCACGAUAAAUAUGUUGCCCUUUGGCUUUUCUGUCUUUAACGUUGAAUUUGGAAUCGUUGAAAUACAUUGAAUUGAAUUAUUAAUCAAUUAAGUCAUCAUAACUGUAGAAAAAAAGAGAAAAGGAAAAAGAGGAGAAAGGUUAUGGAAAUAUUGAUCAAUAUUCUCGAAUAUUUCCGUUAAGACCUUUCUAAAAAUUAAUUUCAUGAUUAACUGUACAACUGUACAGUUGCGAAUAGUAAAUGACGAGUUCGUAGGAAUGAAAAAAGCGUUAGAAAAUCUGAAAAUAUGAAAAAUAUAAUUAUUUAUUGCAAGAUCGCGAGAUUGAUUUCUUGCCUUCUCGACAGAUGGCGAGCAAAGUAUAUUCCAAAAAGAAUCAUCAGUCUCACUGCUACUUAAUUCAAUGUUAUUCGCGAAACGAGUUUAUAUAAUAUGAAAUGGAAAAUAUAAACGUUCAGAGAAGAAAGAGCAGUUUGUUUAUGAUAUCAUUUCCAUUAAACGUUCUCUUACUCCUUUGACACGUGAAAUAUCGUAUGCUUGAAAUCGAAGAGCAUAUUUCGACGGCUGAACAACAUUUUAAAUAUCAAUAAAUUAUUAAUAAAAACUAGAUAAAUCUUUUAUUUAUGCUUGUUAUUCUAAAAUUCAUAAAAUUAAUUCAUAAUUUUUUUAACAAAGACGUUUCGAUUUAACGUUCGAUUUAAGAAACGAAAGCACAUAAUGCUCGAACUUUGUCUUCAGACUUUGUAACUCUGUUGCAAUAGUCUUUAACGUAAAUUGCACUAUAAUCUAAAUCCGAUUUUAUCAAAUUUAGAAAUUAGAAAUUUUAUCUAAUCUCCGCUGUUAUACAAUAUCCAUAAGGAUGCGUACUUGACACAGGAAAUGACGUGAGGAACAGAAGAUAUACUGUAAUCGGAUUUUUGGAAAUUCACCAGUUUUAUUUUUUAUUUUAUUUUUAUUGCACGCGUUCGUACGGAACCGUGUGCCGUAUCUCCCCGCUUUUCUACGACGACCCAAACAUUUUUCCGAUGAUGUUGAGAAAGCAGGAACCGCGUAACGAUAUUACCGGCAAAGGAAUAUCACAAUUGAGAAACGAAAGACGAUCGAAACAUCUAUACCUUCGGGGAAAGAAGGAACAAUGUUGCCAUAAAUUAUGUUUGACGUGUAUGAAUUACACGACGCAGUAGAAGAGCAGGUUUUAUUAAAGAAAAAGAGAGGUUAUUAAACCGUGUAAGCAAUUCACUUUUUAUUCCUACAUGGUUCUUUUCUUUAUCACCUGUUUCCGAACAAAAUGGCCGUUGCAAACUACAUAGAAACAAUCCUAGUGAUCUUGUCUGUUCCGAUUCGACGAUUUUAUCGCGUGUUAUCCUGUCUGAAUCGCAUUCAAGUGUUAUUUAUGCGUCUAAGUCAGUGGAACGUUCAUCGAACCAUUUGCUAUCUGUCUCAAUCAACUUGUGUUAUCGAAUUCUAUUUUCGAACAACGUGGCUACGAAAGAGAAUGCCAAAGAUUCAACAUUUUAUUCACUUUGUUUCUUCCAACUAGACUUUACUAUUUUAUGACAUAUAUAUCUUUACGAUUUUAUCAGAUACAACGAAAUUGAUAUUUAUAAUGUAUAAAAUAUGACACGUGAAACUAUAAAAAUUGAUAAAUAUAAUAAAUAUAUAAAUAUCCAAUAAAUAUAUAGAUAUAUAAAUACACACAUACUUUGUAUAUUAUAAAUAUCAAUUUCAAAAAUAUAUUACAUGUAACAUAUAUUAUAAUUAAUGGAUGAAACAUUAACGGUUGGUGCUUGAUGAGUUAAGCAGUUUCAGAAACGAGAUGUCGAAACCGAUAAUAGCAGAAUAUCGCUUUAUAUUAAAAAAUCGAACGAGGGAACGAAUAAUUUAUUCCCAAGCUUCACGGAAUCGGUGAAGAACGUUUUACUCGAUUGCAAAUCACUCGUUACUAGACGAGAAUGACAAAAUCGUGGAAGAACACAAGGGGAAAAAUUCCGGAAUGAACAAAUACGAACGAAGCGUAUACUCGUGUUGAAUUUAUAAAGAAUUCAGGACGAGGAAGGAUACGUAUUCGCGCCAAAAAUCGAUCCAAUCGUGUCUUUCUAUCGCCACGAGAUUUCUCAAAUUUCAGAGCAAGACGAGAGAGAGGUUAUCGACACGUGUCAUCUCUGCUUUUAAUGUCGCGUUAAACGUUUCCAUACAUAGGUUAAAAACCUUCUUGCUCUUUGAGACGGAGACAAGACGAGACGUAAAAAUUCGAGAGUUAAGCGAAGAUUUACAUACGUGCCUACAUCCUUUAACGUUACAUUUUUAUACCAACAACUGGUUUAAAUCAAGUAUGCGGAACAAUUAAAUUUUCUAUUUAUUUUACGUAAUUCGAACGACCUUCCGGUUUCUCGGCGUGAAUGCAUUCUUUUCUUCCAAAAUAUUUUUCGCGAUUAUCAAUUGCACCAAACAUCCUGAAAAACAUCUGUCUGAUUUUACACGUAAUAACAGCACGCAGAACCGUUCGAGAAUUAUUCGUCGAAGAUGAACAGAUCCUGUUACACGAAAUCCGCGAAUAUCCUUAAACGCCACCGAAAAAGAAGUACCAUAGACUUGUCCGAACAAAGAGAGUAAUAUAAUCGCAGCGUUUGUGUUUAUGGAACAAUAACGCCAAUAAGAAGACUGAAAAAACCAUAAUUGGAAAACUACACGACAUUGGAGCAGGCGGCGAACGACGUGCGGAAAUCAGAAAAAAGAAGUGGCCAAGACAUCAGAGCCUCUCGAUGUAAGAAAUGUCGUAGACUUCUCUAACGUGACGCAUUAUUAGCGAUUCUUUAUUCUAGGCACAUGCGUUUCAGGGACGAUUAUAAUCGUCGACGUAUAUAACGUGUCGAGGAUCUUAGCUUAGACUUGAUAAAGUUGCGCGAUAGAAUUGCUCUAUCAAAGUACGGUAAUUAAUAAAUGAAGCUAUAAAUGGGUAUAUCUGGUUCUCAAGGUCUCGGAAAGUUUUUAAAGUUGGUUAAGACUUUAGAAAUUAACAAAAUUAGAACUCGUGUUGCAUCGCAUUAUUAUAAUUUAAUGAUUGCAAGGAGCAAGUAAUCUAUGGUAAUAGAUGCCUGCUAAAGCAGCCGAUAUUUAAGUACAGUUAUGGUUACGUCAAAACUUGUUUGAUCUGUCACUUAACCAAUUAACUGCGUUCGACGUGUAUACGCGUCAAUCCAGAACUUCAUUUUGGUGCGGUUGACGAGUAUACUCGUCGUGUGAAAUAAAAAAUUACCGUUUGCUAUAAAAGCUGGAAACUUUAGCAAAAUGUAAGUCAUGCUCCGUAUAAUAUAUUGCUUUUUAUAAAUCGAGUCAAUUAUUUUCCCCAGUGCAUCCCAUUUGUGUACUUUACUGCAUAUAUCCUAAUUGUUUUGCGUACUUCAUUAUUUUUUGACAAUUUUUAAGCUUUUAAUAACAGUACCGUUUUUCAACGAUGAAUCGUUGACUUCUUAACGAACAAGAAUGUAAUACUUCCUCAUUUGGCUAUAUUUUAUUUUAAGGGAUUGUUUAAACUAAAUUCCUGGAAAUUUGAAACUAAAGAUAACAAGUUAAGUGAAACGAGCGCCUUACCUCGGAUACUUUAUAAAUCUUUUCAUAUCAUGCGCAUUCUACUAAUUUAUAUGGUUUAAGACUUUUCACAGAUGCACUAAAGUUCGUAAUUUAUCUACUAACGAGGAAAGUCACUAAAUUUAAUCGGUGAUUUCAAUGACUGGUAAUACGAUAUCAUUUGGUAGGCGUACCGGAGGAAAAGUCUUAAAAUAUUAAAUAUCUUCCGGUUGUAGAAGACGAAUUUUGGAACAUGCGAAAUAAAUCUGCUGUUUAGAAGAGUAGAAGGACGUAAGAAGCUAUGUUAAGAUUGAAAAAACGUGCGAGAAUUAAUUCCCCGAGCAAAUAUUUGUCUCAACGAAGAAAAAAAUACUUUUCUGCUUACUUAUUAAAGACGUGUUUCUCGCAAUAUUUAGCAAAAAUCAGAAGAGCACGAUUACCUCGUGGAAAAAUGUGUUGUAGAAAGGAAAUUAAAAUAUUUCAAAAGCAAGAAAAUUUGCUGCUUUGACACGGUGAAUUAAGUUUUUCAUGAACAAAUCUAGAUAAGAGUGAUAAUUUAAAAAUGUCAAAUGUAAUUCUAAAUAUAUAUAUGCUACUUAAAUUAGUAAAAUAACCUUCAAUGCAGCUGAGGAUGAAGAAGAUAAAUAACGUUGUUUAUUAGAGGCGUAAAAGUCUGCUUUAAAGAUUGUGAUACGCGAGCUGAAAAAAUAGGAAGGAAUUCAAGGGACAAUCGGGCAAUGGUAUAGUAAAUAGAAACAUAAUUUUAAGGGAAAAUACCUAUUGUACAGUUUAUUUUAUACAUUCAACGACUCGUUUGAUUCAAGUACAAGAAUGAAAGCCUGUUUUCGCUUUGAAAUAUUAAUUCUUCCAUUAUUUCUAGAACAAUGAGGAGCAACAAACUCAUUGUUUGUUAUACAAAUACUUAUGAGAAUAAAACUGGUAUUCAAUUUUGAAACACUUCCAAUCCAACGACAAUACAUUCACUCUUCGGUAAACGAUCAUUCUCAUCUCUUCGAACAAAACAAAUCACUAUACGUUAUCGUCUUUCGAUACAAAACAAAAAAAAAAAAUAUAUAUAUAUUCAAUUCGUUCGCUAAAUUUUAUAAAAGUUAGAACGACGCAGUACGUUUGUGUAUUUGUUACAAAGAUCGCCGCGACAUUUUCACAUUAUCGGAUUAUUCUUUUCAACUUCGUAAAUUACUAUAUGUUUUAAGUAACUACAGGAAGGCGUAGCGGUCUCUUCGUUCGAGAUAACUUUAUGUUCAUUCGUUUGAACAGUCUCUAUUUUUACAGUGGACCAUUUCUCAUAGAAAUAUUAGAGUGAAACGACGGACAUGUCGAUCCGUGCAAGUUACCAUCAACAAUUAGAAAACAACGAAGAUAAACUAAGGUAAACCGAGGAAAAAAGAAGAAAAACAAAAAAGUAAAAGUAUAAAGCUUCCAAAAUAUUUGAUUUACAAAAAGGUGCAUUAAAAGCGUCUUAAAAGGAUGUGAAAGUUCCGCGAAGCAAUAAAUAAAAAUAAAAUCUACUACGAACAUAGAAACAAUGUUAAGCAAAAUAAAAAAGAAAAAAGAAGAAUAGAUCUAGCGCUAUCGUAAAAAUUACGCGAUAAUAAACGGAACUCGCACAUCAAUCGACUUCCGUGCAGGUUUGAAAUAAGCAAUAAAAAAAAAAAAAAAGAAAAAUAAA